AAACCAGCACCUCAAGUGGUCAGGAGGAUUAUUGGGCCUAAAGCAUCCGUAGCCUGCUCUGUAAGUUUCCGGUUAAAUCCAUUAGCUCAACUAAUGGCCUGCCGGAAAUACUGUAGAGCUAGGAAGUGGGAGAGGUAGACGGUACUCGGUAGGAAGGGGUAAAAUCCUUUGAUCUAUUGAGGACCACCUGUGGCGAAGGCGGUCUACCAGAACACGUUCGACGGUGAGGGAUGAAAGCUGGGGGAGCAAACCGGAUUAGAAACCCUAGUAGUCC
RNAcentral lists this ribosomal RNA (274 nucleotides) under uncultured bacterium. RNAcentral's name for it is "partial 16S ribosomal RNA". It matches the Rfam family "Archaeal small subunit ribosomal RNA", at positions 473 to 747 of the family's 1478-position model. The record is from RNAcentral.